AUGGGCUGGGAAUCCUGGAAGAGCAAACGUCGUACCCUUGAAGCCACAGUGAUGAAGACGGAAGCUACCUCAAGGAAAAAUUCUAGUGGCUAUUUCAAAGUCCCGUUUCAUCACGGCAGAGGGACGCCUCUGGUGGCGAAGGACACUGGCAUGUCCCCUCCUCCCUUCUCCGAGUGCCAGAGUGGAAAGUACUACAUUGCAUCAUGGGCUCGGCUUUAUGUUUUCCUUGACCUUAAAACCUGAUCCUACCAUUUAUAGGAGCGAGCGGAGCAUACAGUUGGUGCACAAACUGUGCCACAGCCUUAAGGGCUUGUUCUCAGUGAAACCUCUGUGGCCCUCAAUAGAGGUGCUGUUUGGUCACAUUUCUUGGUGAGUGAAAGGUAUUUAACUAACCGCAGAUAAUAACAGGUGAGAUUCAAGUCCCGACAGAAACUUGAGCUUCCGUUCAUUCUAUCACUGUUAGGAAGAAAUCUGAAAAAAAUUUGUCCGAUCAGACCUUCAUUGCCAGAUGGGAACAUAGAUGCCCAGAGGAAAAAUAAGGUCCAGAUGGUGAAAGGCUAAUUGUUGGUUUCUAUCUCCAUUCUGAGAGAAAACCCGUUAAUACACAUUAGCAUAUAAUAUUAAAACAGUAAGCUAUUCUAAUGAUAUGGAAGUUAAAAUUUAUUUUUACUUAUUUUAGAAAUUAUUACUAGAGUUAAUCUUUUCAAAUAUCAAAGCUGUUUAAUCCACAAAGAGACAAAAUAAAUGGAGGCUAUCCUAAGCAUGUCCUCCAAGUUACUUUAUUUGGGGACAAGGUGCCAUUAUGUAGCCCUAACUGGCCUGGAACUUGCUAUGUACAACAAGUGGUCCUCAAACUCUGAGAGAUCCUUCUGGCUCUGCCCACUGAGUGCUAGGCUUAAAGGUGUGUACCACUACAUUUGACUUCCUUUUUAUUUUGUUUUGUUCUUAAUGAUUGACUAUUAGUUGAACUCAUUUUUAAAAUUAUUUCUUUUCUUUUUGACGUUUAUGAUAUAAUUACAUCAUUUUUCUUUUCUUCCUCCAAACCUCCUACUUGUUCUCUUUCAGAUUCAUGUUGUCUUUUUUCAUUGUUACAUGUAUGGUGUGUGUGUGUGUGUGUGUGUGUGUGUGUGUGUGUGUGUGUGUGUGUUUACUAAAUAAAUAAGUACAACCUACUAGUCUAUGUAAUGUUACUUGUAUGAAGCCUCAGUCCUAUAGGAAAAACAACAAGCAACUAAGGAAAGCUGAGAGCAGGAGAAACACUUUUCCUCAGGGAAGAGCUCAUCAGUUGGUUAUUCAAUACCAAUGGGUGAAUUCUGAAAGCCUUCCUCGUUUUUUAAUAAUAUAAACUUCUCUAGCAAGCAAAGGCAUUUGUUUGAACCUUCACAACAUCAAGCAAAUAAAUAUUUCUAAGAGGGCUGCAAAGAUAAGUCAUGAAGACAGAGAAACAGCCAUCUGUUCAUCUGUGUUAUUAGACCAGAUAAAAGUGUGCAGGGCUCGGCACUGAGCAAUUUUUUAAAGUAGGACAAACAUUUUUUUUUUUUUCAUUUACCACUGCUUUAGGCUUUCAAGUCUAUCCAUUCCUCCAAUUUGACAUAUAGUCAUCCCACUGAUUGGAAAAUCUUGCCUGUAGGCUCUGAAAGUAUAAAAGUUAAUUUCUUCUGAUAGACACAAUCACUCAAAGAAAACAAAGCAACCCCCCCCAAAAAAAAAAAAAAACAUGAGUUUUUCAUCAUGUCAGUUAUUCAUGCCCUAGGAGUCAAAUGAUUUGGGAAAUGUUUUUAAAACUCUAUCUAGAAAUCUGUCAGAAGUAUUCUCUGAGUUCUGUGGCCUGUGAUGGCAUCAGCAGCACAGGGACGGCAUCCCUCUUGAUUAAUUAAGGGGAAAAAAC
This 1888-nucleotide long non-coding RNA is filed under the name Cricetulus griseus (Chinese hamster). RNAcentral's name for it is "lncRNA (ENSCGRG00000024884.1)". The record is from RNAcentral. Lineage: Eukaryota; Metazoa; Chordata; Mammalia; Rodentia; Cricetidae.